CACGCUGCGUUCCUCAGUCCCCCAGGAUGUAUCCAACGGAAAGCUAUAACACAGCCGAGACUGCUACCUUCAAACCGUCAUUAUCCACCCCGGAAAACUGAUGCUGGCCUGCAAACCGAAGCAAGCUCCGGCAAGCAAGUCUGACUUCAAGCGUUUCCCUUCCAACAAUUUCACGUACUGUUAACUCUCUUUCCAAAGUGCUUUUCAUCUUUCCCUCACGGUACUUGUUCGCUAUCGGUCUCUCGCCAAUAUUUAGCUUUAGAUGGAAUUUACCACCCAAUUUGAGCUGCAUUCCCAAACAACUCGACUCAUUGAAAGUGUAUCACAAAGCGCUGGGCGUCCGCACCAUAUACGGGGGUUUCACCACUAUGCCGCUGUAUUCCAACAGACUUGUGUGCGGUCCAACGCGGAAAACACUUCUAGAGAUUACAACUCGGACACCGAAGGUGCCAGAUUAUAAAUUUGAGCUCUUCCCGCUUCGCUCGCCGCUACU
Molecule: ribosomal RNA, 493 nt
Filed under: Rhodotorula glutinis
Lineage: Eukaryota; Fungi; Basidiomycota; Microbotryomycetes; Sporidiobolales; Sporidiobolaceae
Description: partial 26S ribosomal RNA
Source: RNAcentral